GAACCUUCAGAGACCAUCAUCCUUCUCACCCUGCAGAUGCUGAACACAGAUGAAGGGUAUGACGGGUGCUGGGAGCAGGACACCCAUUUUGAGUGACAGAGUUAAUGAAGUUAGACACACACCAACAACCCAUGACAGGGAAUGCAGUCUCCUCUUUCCCUCCCUUCAGCCAUACAUUUUGACCCUUCCAUGCUGUCUAUGCAUGCAAAAAAGAAUGUGCCUGGGCACACGACUGCAAAAAUAAAGAGCCAUUUUGUUUUACAUUGGAAAGACAUCCAAAGAAGAUGUACAAUGACUACUCAAUUCCAGAUGGCAUUUUAAUUGAAGAUCACUUUGUUGUUAAAACGCCUCCCUUGAUCUAGACUUAAGGAACAGAAUGUAUGAAACUGGCCAUAAAAAGGGUGGCCAGUCUAAACCCUAAAAGACCAUUCUUGCAUUAAAAAGAAAAUAAAAC
RNAcentral lists this long non-coding RNA (454 nucleotides) under Equus caballus (horse). RNAcentral's name for it is "lncRNA (ENSECAG00000039695.3)". Lineage: Eukaryota; Metazoa; Chordata; Mammalia; Perissodactyla; Equidae. The record is from RNAcentral.